GAUGAAGAACGUAGCGAAAUGCGAUAAGUAAUGUGAAUUGCAGAAUUCAGUGAAUCAUCGAAUCUUUGAACGCACAUUGCGCCCGCUAGUAUUCUGGCGGGCAUGCCUGUCCGAGCGUCAUUUCAACCCUCAAGCCCCCGGGCUUGGUGUUGGGGAUCGGCGAGCCUCCGCGCCCGCCGUCCCCUAAAUCUAGUGGCGGUCUCGCUGUAGCUUCCUCUGCGUAGUAGCACACCUCGCACUGGGAAACAGCGCGGCCACGCCGUUAAACCCCCAACUUCUGAACGUUUGACCUCGGAUCAGGUAGGAAUACCCGCUGAACUUAAGCAUAUCAAUAAGCUGAGGA
This 343-nucleotide unclassified non-coding RNA is filed under the name soil metagenome. RNAcentral's name for it is "partial contains 5.8S ribosomal RNA, internal transcribed spacer 2, and large subunit ribosomal RNA". The stretch from base 1 to 120 matches the Rfam family "5.8S ribosomal RNA", at positions 35 to 154 of the family's 154-position model. The record is from RNAcentral.